UGCUCCUCAGUAUGAGAGAGAUUCUGAGAGCAGGUUCGUGUCUCCUUCCUCUGUAUAUAAACACUGUACUGUAUACCAUGUGUUUUUGGAAAACUGGUUCAUAUAUCCUUAAGUCAAUAGCGAAUAUGGCUAUGAAUAUAUUUAAUUAGCCGUUAAUGUAUUGAAGACCUAUUUCAGCAAGUUUCAACCAAGUGUUUGCUGGCUUAGCUAGCCAUGUUAACGAUGAGCUAACACCGUUGGUCACUGCACUACAAUGUCACGCUAGCUAUUGCCAGCAGGUGAUUUGCUAGCAGGUGACUUGCAAUAUUAAGUGAAUGUUUAUUUUCUUACUACCUUUAAAAGGUUUAUAUAAAAGGGUUGUACUUGUGCUCUGUAUUUAUGGAUUAAUAUCACUUCACAUUGAGGGUAUGUAUCACUACAUUUGCUCCUAUCUAAAAUAUAUCUUGUGGGCUACCUAACCAGGUCACAUGUGGCUGUGACCGUCCUGUCAAUGCCUGUCAUCACUGUUUGACAUCUUUUACUGCAGCACAGGGGCCUGUAGCACAGUCCGGUCAAACAGGAAGGGGAUGCCGGCAUUCGGCUGCAGGAAGAUAAAGAGAGGGGAGGUGGAGUUCAAGGAGAACGGUCAACAGCUGGCAGUAAAGUGGCAUGACAAACGAGACGUCCAUGUCCUCUCCACUGUCCAUACAGCAACCAUGUCGGCCACAGGGAAGGUGGACCAACUGACGGGAGAGAGAAAAAUCAAACCAGACUAACUAACAGAUAAAGUAAUUACCUACCAAAAGUACAGAGAGAACCUUAUGAGGGAGCUGCUGGAGGAGCACCACCCCCAUCAGCGCCCAUCCACUGGGGGUCGUCCUGCUGCGGACAAUCCCCUAAACCUCACUGCACGGCAUUUUCCCUGCAAAGUCCCUCAAACUGCUGCUCAAGGUAGUCUCACACAGAGGCACUGCAAAGUUUGUCUGUCUGGCACCAGGAGAAGAAAGCAGAGGAAGUUGUCAAUAUACAUGCGUUUAGCUUGUGAUACACCUCUAUGUAUUUCACCAUGCUUUGGGGAGUAUCAUAUGCUCAAGCAAUAUUGAGCACAUCUGCAGCAAUUAGUGACUGACUGACAGACCUGACAAGUAACUUUCCUUCCAUGAUACUAGUUGUUGUUCAAUCACUGCAUGAAUAUUAAAUACGGGUUAUGCAUAUUCAGUUUUUUUUCCUCUAGUAAAACUUGUUCAACCAACCACCACCAUUACUGCAAUAAAAUUGACGACUAACA
Oncorhynchus mykiss (rainbow trout) is the source of this 1267-nucleotide long non-coding RNA. RefSeq lists it as uncharacterized. NCBI's taxonomy places the organism in Eukaryota, Metazoa, Chordata, Actinopteri, Salmoniformes, Salmonidae. The record is from RefSeq and is a predicted model, not a curated record.